This 348-nucleotide unclassified non-coding RNA is filed under the name Hevea brasiliensis (rubber tree). The record is from RNAcentral. Lineage: Eukaryota; Viridiplantae; Streptophyta; Magnoliopsida; Malpighiales; Euphorbiaceae.
CUUUUGUCACGAAACCCUAGAAAAUUCCACAACCCCAAAUUUACAGAGCCUAGAUUCCAUCUCCAUCGUAGAAAUCUCCCAUCAAUUUCGCCGAUAAACCCCAAUUCCUUACCCUAACGUAGCUCAUUUCCUACAAAUUUCUCUUUCUAAACCCUAGAUCUGAUCCACAUUUCUGAAUCACCUCAGUUUGAAAAAAAAUUGACUGAUUGAGGUGGUUAUUGUUGAAAUUUUCACGUAUGGUGGACAUGGGAAGGGUUGAAACAGAGGCAAUUGCCAAACCCUCCUCAUCGUCCUCAUCUUCAUCAUCAUCAUCUGCGGUGACCACGUCAACAUCGGUGACUGAGACGG